GUAGAAAAAAAGUUUCAACCUAUUAUUUAUUGUAAGAUUCUCAAUCGAGUGUCAACAUAGAACACACUUAAAUAAGUGGUAGUUUUAUCAUUUUUGUGAAAAAUGGAUGUUAACCAUUCAUUUAUUCGUAUGACUGAUUACAAAUUGUGUAAGUUAACGGUAAGAAGAAUUGCAAAAUUUUCAAAGAUAAAUUUAAAAGAUGGU
RNAcentral lists this long non-coding RNA (204 nucleotides) under Mytilus galloprovincialis (Mediterranean mussel). The record is from RNAcentral. Lineage: Eukaryota; Metazoa; Mollusca; Bivalvia; Mytilida; Mytilidae.